Molecule: ribosomal RNA, 507 nt
Filed under: uncultured bacterium
Lineage: Bacteria
Description: partial 16S ribosomal RNA
Rfam family: Bacterial small subunit ribosomal RNA
Source: RNAcentral
UGGGGAAUAUUGCACAAUGGGCGAAAGCCUGAUGCAGCAACGCCGCGUGAGGGACGACGGCCUUCGGGUUGUAAACCUCUUUUAGCAAGGAAGAAGCGAAAGUGACGGUACUUGCAGAAAAAGCGCCGGCUAACUACGUGCCAGCAGCCGCGGUAAUACGUAGGGCGCAAGCGUUAUCCGGAAUUAUUGGGCGUAAAGAGCUCGUAGGCGGUUUGUCGCGUCUGCUGUGAAAACCCGAGGCUCAACCUCGGGCCUGCAGUGGGUACGGGCAGACUAGAGUGCGGUAGGGGAGAUUGGAACUCCUGGUGUAGCGGUGGAAUGCGCAGAUAUCAGGAAGAACACCGAUGGCGAAGGCAGAUCUCUGGGCCGUAACUGACGCUGAGGAGCGAAACGGGUGGGGAGCAAACAGGCUUAGAUACCCUGGUAGUCCACCCCGUAAACGUUGGGAACUAGUUGUGGGGUCCAUUCCACGGAUUCCGUGACGCAGCUAACGCAUUAAGUUCCCCG